Paralichthys olivaceus (Japanese flounder) is the source of this 567-nucleotide long non-coding RNA. RefSeq lists it as uncharacterized. The record is from RefSeq and is a predicted model, not a curated record. NCBI's taxonomy places the organism in Eukaryota, Metazoa, Chordata, Actinopteri, Pleuronectiformes, Paralichthyidae.
CCUCAGUUCCACAGGCUGCCACUGUUUGUUCAGGCUUCACAUGGUGUCAGUCUGCUGAGCUGCUGCAGCCAUCGAUGAAGCGGAGGGUGAACGUGGGUGCUGGUGCUGCGUCUGGAUCCCUGCUGGGUGCCGACCACCUCCCCGAGGACCCGUCGACUUCAAACUUUUUCCUCUCCUGUAGGAAGGUUGUGAAGCUCCAGCAGCAGAAAUGAUCAUCAGACUGGGAAGACUGACGCCAGGUUACUUCCGUCUCCUCCAGCGUCAGGUGUCUGGUGAGGUCUGCAUGCAGCCCCAGCGCAGCCUCAUUGACCCCAUCGCCCUGAUGAUGGCCUCAGUCGGGACGGGAGUGUGUCUGUACAGCUCCAGACAGAUGGCAGAGCGGGUCCAACUCAAACACCCCAACGCCUGAUGAUCGAUAACAAGUUGUGUUGGGGGAUGGUCUGAUUGUCUGUUUGUGAAAGUCGGAGAAGGUUUGUGAUGGAGGAGUUUGAAAGAAAGAACGUGUUUGUGUCGUCGCUAGAAGGAAAAUCUGAGUGAACAAAGAAGAAAGUGUGAGACAAAGUUCAA